GAUGAACGCUGGCGGCGUGCCUAAUACAUGCAAGUCGAGCGAACGGACGAGAAGCGGGCUUCUCUGAUGUUAGCGGCGGACGGGUGAGUAACACGUGGAUAACCUACCUAAAGGAUGGGGCUACUUCGGGGAACCUGAUCCUAGAACUGUGGAUCUUUUGCACCGCAUGGGUUGAAAAGGUAAGGCGGUUUUGGUUUCACUUACAGACUGAUCCCGGCUGCAUUAGCUAGUUGGCAAGGUAACGGGCUACCAAGGCCACGACUCAUAGCCGACCUGAGAGGGUGGUCGGCCACACUGGAGCUGGGACACGGUCCAGACUCCUACGGGAGGCAGCAGUAGGGAAUCUUCCGCAAUGGGCGAGAGCCUGGCGGAGCAACGCCGCGUGAGUGAUGGAGGUCUUCGGAUCGUAAAGCUCUGUUAUUGGGGAAGAACAUAUGUGUGAGUAACUGUGCACAUCUUGACGGUACCUAGUCAGAGAGCCACGGCUAACUACGUG
RNAcentral lists this ribosomal RNA (496 nucleotides) under uncultured bacterium. RNAcentral's name for it is "partial 16S ribosomal RNA". It matches the Rfam family "Bacterial small subunit ribosomal RNA", at positions 28 to 507 of the family's 1533-position model. The record is from RNAcentral.